UCCGAGCGCGUCCCACGGCAGGACGUCCGGCUCUGGACCGGAAGACCGGGGUUCGAAUCCCUGGCUCGGAG
Molecule: transfer RNA, 71 nt
Filed under: Sandaracinaceae bacterium LLY-WYZ-13_1
Lineage: Bacteria; Pseudomonadati; Myxococcota; Polyangiales; Sandaracinaceae
Description: tRNA-Gln
Rfam family: tRNA
About the family: Transfer RNA (tRNA) molecules are approximately 80 nucleotides in length. Their secondary structure includes four short double-helical elements and three loops (D, anti-codon, and T loops).
Source: RNAcentral